CACCGCAGCCUGACAGAUGUGCCAGUUUCCGGUGGAUAAAAGCCCCACCGCGCCGCUCACCGGAUUCACCGUGCGACCGCAAGCCUCAAACAGCAGCGAUUGAAACAGAGCUGAUGAAUACAGAGAGACAAUUCACAAAAUUAGGUCUUUUGGCUUCCGCCACGGCGGAGACGAACGAAAUGAGAUCGGUGCGGCCGAAGAACUUGGAGACGAACAGAAUGGCGUUGCCUUGCGCCUGCGGACUCUCUAUCCAUUCCAAACACGGCUUCAGCACGCACCUCUCGCUGCAACCUCUCCGCAUAGGGAAUGAGAGGGAUUUUGCAGCAGAUGAAGCUGCGGUUAAUUAUAGAAGAAGAAGCUGCAGUUAAAAGUAACCAUGGUUAGGUUCAGUUCCAAAAUUGCACAGAUACAAAUUCUAUAUUCCCAGCCCAGAUUUUGAUUUUAGGCCCAAUUUCGGCCCAGAUCAAAAUGAUGUCCAGGCCCAAUAAGAAGACUUGAGGGCCAAGUGGAAGAUGGUGACGACGACUGUGCUGGGCGUCGCCGACUCAGUCCGAGUCAAACCUUCUACGCGGUCCACACCACUAUUUCUUCUACGGUCCCAGGACCUCACUCCCCACCUAUAAACACCGUUUGUUGAAAAAGAGAGGCUUCUCCAAUGCCCCCUGGUCCGCGACUCCGGGUGAUAAGAGUUGAGUAGGAGUGGCUAAGCCGCCAGGCGGCAAGUGGGUUUGUGGCUGAGCAGUCGGCUCCGGUAAAUCUACACCGUUGAUUAGGUGGACUCCACACUGUGUACGGUGUGGAUUGUCGGAGCUUUAAGAACGUUCUUUUGAUGGUAGUGCUUUGAAUGUGCACACGUUCAUGAACCUUCUUAGUGUAUGCUUCCGAUGAUCCAAUGGUCAUUAUCUAAAUUUUCUUAAUUAUAUAUAAUCGUAAUUAUUUUACAAAUGACUUAUAUAAGUAUUUAUUUAUUUAUUUAUUUCAUUUGUACUGGAAGUUGUACAAAUUUUACUU
This is a long non-coding RNA of Andrographis paniculata, 1011 nucleotides long. RefSeq lists it as uncharacterized. The transcript is spliced from 5 exons. The record is from RefSeq and is a predicted model, not a curated record. Lineage: Eukaryota; Viridiplantae; Streptophyta; Magnoliopsida; Lamiales; Acanthaceae.